AUGCUUGGUGACAGCAACACAUGCAUAUUUUGGUGCAAUCAUUGGCUCAAAGGGCAGUCCAUCUCUGAGAUUGCACCAACCCUGCUUACCCAUAUCCCGCGUCAGGGCCGGAACAAGAGACUUGUCUACGAGGCCCUCUCUGAUCGUUGCUGGAUCACGGACAUCCAUGGCAACCUCAGUCCCGCAGCAAUCCUCGAGUAUGUGGAACUUUGGAGGUGUCUUCAGGGGAUAACCCCCUCUAGAGAGCCGGACCGACUUUCUUGGAAAUGGACCGCUCACGACACUCACACGACAACUCUGCCUACAGAGAACAGUUCAUAA
RNAcentral lists this ribosomal RNA (321 nucleotides) under Triticum aestivum (bread wheat). Its description in RNAcentral is "partial small subunit ribosomal RNA". The record is from RNAcentral. Lineage: Eukaryota; Viridiplantae; Streptophyta; Magnoliopsida; Poales; Poaceae.